Molecule: transfer RNA, 73 nt
Filed under: Rhipicephalus microplus (southern cattle tick)
Lineage: Eukaryota; Metazoa; Arthropoda; Arachnida; Ixodida; Ixodidae
Description: tRNA-Ala
Rfam family: tRNA
About the family: Transfer RNA (tRNA) molecules are approximately 80 nucleotides in length. Their secondary structure includes four short double-helical elements and three loops (D, anti-codon, and T loops).
Source: Rfam by way of RNAcentral
GGGGGUGUAGCUCAGAUGGUAGAGCACUCGCUUAGCAUGCGAGAGGUACUGGGUUCGAUACGCAGUACCUCCA